Molecule: unclassified non-coding RNA, 211 nt
Filed under: Hevea brasiliensis (rubber tree)
Lineage: Eukaryota; Viridiplantae; Streptophyta; Magnoliopsida; Malpighiales; Euphorbiaceae
Source: RNAcentral
GGCGAAAACAUCUUGCACUCUCAGAUUCUUGAGUUUCAGUCCUGACGGGCCAACUUCUCGUCAUGAAUUCUAUCAUUCUCUUGUUCAUGUUAGUAGGAUUUGAUCGAUUGCCAGAAUUACUUGCCGAAAUUUCGCUUGUGGGUGUGCUUGAAUAGGGCAGGAAAGCGCUUUGGUUCAGUGGAGUAAGCUCAUACCAGAAGGCAAGAUCAUC